Molecule: long non-coding RNA, 5826 nt
Organism: Ictalurus punctatus (channel catfish)
Lineage: Eukaryota; Metazoa; Chordata; Actinopteri; Siluriformes; Ictaluridae
Source: Ensembl
UUUUUUUUUUUGUUUUUUUGUUUGUUUUUUUUCCCUUUUUUUUUCCCGCGACCCGAACGAUGCUGAUUUCCGAUCACGCUUUACUUGAAAUCCGAGCACUUGUUUAGUUUUCACGUUUGAAAUUGCUGGAACUGAGAAUAAAACAAAAACUCUAGGUCAAAUCAAACAUUUUAAAAAUAUAAAAAAAACUGUAGAUGCCUUUCUUUAGUGUGCAUGGGUUUGAUGCUUGCGAUCACAGUAUCACGUUGGGGUUUUUUUUUUUUUACUCGGAUAUGAAUGCACCGGUGAUUAAAAUCUGAUUUAUCAGAUCUGAGGUGCGGAACGAUCCGACUGGUCUGAUUUCAACUGAGCCUGUCUGAUGUAUUAUUUAGUUAGUUUUUUUUUUUUAACUGUUCUUUCUAGAACUUUCUUGUUUGUUUUUGAAGCUCAGGGUUUUGGUCAGAAGUUCAAGUUUAUAGGCGUGUCUCUUGCAUGUCGCCAAACGACGAAUUUUUCAUUAUGAACUUGUGCCAAUAAUUCGUUUCAUAUCACAAUAGUGUCUGACAAUAUUAUCACGAUGGUGUCGCCGUUCUCCCGUUUGAGGACACGAUAACGAUGAUCUUAACGAGCGUGGAAUCACAUAUCAGCACGGACCUACUUAAGAACAAUUGAAAGUAACCUCCAAGCAUUUCAAAAAACACAACAAAAGCUGUCUAGCUGUCUUAUUUUUUUUUGUUUUUUUUUUAAGAUUAGUGGUGAAAGUGUAAAACUGCGAUAUUGCGACUAAACGUUUCACUGUAUUAAAUUUCCAGACGAUCCGAUAACUUUUUAGCGUUUGUUUUUGUUUAAACGGUGCUAAAUUUUCACCUGUCGUCUUUUUUUUUUUUUUUUUUUUUUAAACUUUUUUUAUUGUAUGUUGUACAGCUAACGCUAGCUAGCAGGAUUUCUAGCAUCCGCAUCAUGUGUUUACGCUAAAUUUAGCAUUCAAAUAGCAUUUGUGUUACAACAGGAGCAACUUGUGACGGUCUACGAACACGAGCACGUGAUCUUUCCACAAUGCGUCACUUCUUUCGUUUCUCGUAAACGGUCGCACCACAAUUUAGCGUAAAACGCUCAUCGACUUUAAUCGGCCGAAACGAACUCAUUUGGCACGGCAGCGAUGUAAUAUUUAAUUGUAGAACUUUGUGUAAAUUUAGUCAAAAAAAAAAAAAAAAAUGUAUUAUAGUCGCUUGUCGUUUUUUUUUUUUUUUUUUUUUUUUUUUUUUUUUUUUCACGAUUUGUUUACUUGCGAUAUUAUUGGCUAUGUAGACAGCUACGAGACAAACAUCCGCACGCAUAUAGAUCUAUAUUUUUCGAGGAUACUGCGCGUUUUAAAUGCGUUUCUCGAAGUCCUACUGAUUUGAAAUGCCGCAACGGGAGAGAUUGUCGCGCCACAUCAACAAAAUCGCGGUAUCGUAGGCUUUAUAUACAAGGUCGUGAUAACGUGGUAAAACUGUGAUCAGUUAUCGUGAUAGGAAAUGAAAAUAUUGGCACACGUCUUCACGUCGCGGUGUGCGCGAGUCCAGCCGGAGUCCGGUAUUCAACCUUUUCGUGUUCAGCCUGGAGACCAAAAUUAAAAAAAAAAAAACAUUUCACGUUCGUCACGUCUUGUCCUUUCUUCUCCGUCACUCUGCGGAAAGCCGAUUUAACCCGAAAACGCCGCGUGCCUCGGGAACGAUGUUCAGAAUUUUGAAACACGGAGGCUUCUAGCAAAACCGAGGUCACGCUUCAACUCCAUUUCAGAGCAAAGGGAACUUUUUAUCAUGGUUCAUUAUCUCAGUAAUUACGAUAUCAUUUCAAGAGUUCAUGUAAAGGCCCCCCCUUUUCCAAAAUAAAAACACUAACUUGAAAACAACCUUUAAUUGAGAAAUAAAUAGGUUAUGAGGCAAUUAUUAUUCAAAAAAAAAUGUUUUAAAGAUAACAUCGAUUGUAUUUUCGCUUCUCCUUUUUACUUUGUUGUUUGUUUGUUUUUUUGGUUUUUUUUUAAAGCACGCGAAUGCUGACAUUGAUUUCGUUUCAUUUUCUGGACCAGAAACUUCAAAAUGUUUCCCUUCAUUUUUUAUUUUAUUUCUUUAAUUUAUUUUUCACUUCCUUGUUGUGUUGUUUUUUGUGUGUGUCCCCCCCCCCGUCAUAUAAUGGAGGGUUAUUUAGAAUUUGCAUGACACACGAGGUAGACCUUUUUUUAUUUUUGUACUUUGUUUGUUUGUUUUUUGUUUUUUUUAAUAAGUGCUGGAUUAUUUUAAAGAAGUCCUGUCGUCACUGUGGAGUGUUUAAAUCUUUUUUGUUUUGUUUUGUUUGUUUUUCCGUCCCCUCCCUGAAGGGAUCGUUACAGAUCUGUACAUUUUUCUACAUUCGAACAAUCAUAAUGUACUGUAACCGGUGUUUAUUUUGCUAUUGAAACAAAGUGGCUAAAAUGACCGUAUACCUUUUUAUAUACACGUCACGCGGACUGGAAGUAAUAUUUCAUAGAUUUAUUAUUUUUUAUUAUUAUUAUUAUUUUAUUUUAUUUUUUGGGGAAUAUUUUUGACCAGACUCUGUUUUUAUACGAACUUGUCACCGCGCAUGAAUUAAAAGUAGGAAUGCGUGCCGAUCGCGUAAUCGAUCAUACGAUGUACCGCGGCGCUCGACUCGUAAGCUCUUCCUCGACGCCGGCUUUUCAUUCACGUCCGUCUCCUGGGACAAAUUUCAAGACGUCCGGCGCAGGUAAAGAUAGAACUCCUCGCUCAGACUGAGGGAGUAUUUAUAAACGUAGAGCAGCUUCAAUUUGUUUUUGUUUUGUUUUUUUUUUUACACGGAGUAUUGAUGUAACUCGCACUCUAAAUAUUGACUAAAAGUUAUGGUUUUAAUUACUUUAUUCAUUAUUUCACGAUGGCCGAUUGGUGUCCGGUCAAAUAUCGAUUUGAAGGAGGAGGCUGUCUCCUGCUAUGUAGGCACCAUUCUUGAGCAAGUUUUGCUUUACUGAGAGAAAAGUUCCUCUUAUUUGUAAGUGUAUUGCGAUAUAUACAUUUUGCAUUAUAUAUAUAUAUAUAUAUGUAUAUUUUUAUUUUCACGUACCACUCUGCUGGAGAGCAGGAUUAUGAGAUGGCCUUCAUGGAAAUGUCCCACAAUGAGGAUCGUUGCCUGCCUUAUUAUUUUCGUAUGAACGAUUAUCCAUGAACACCUUUUGUGAAAUUUGGACGUUUAUUUCUACUGCCAUGGAGACGUGCAAUCAGAUUGUACCUCUGUAUGCUGUAUUCCUUCAUAACGCAGACGACUACUUCUUCCUCUUAUUAAUAUUAUUAUUAUUAUUAUUAUUAUGAUUGUGGUAAUUUAAUAUUUUUAGUCAAAUCGGGUAACAAGUUUCGGCGCCCCCCCCCCACCAGUUAUGAAGUGAAUGUACAGACAAUCCGUCACUCCAGUCCGUCCUCGACGUGCUUUUCUUCCAAACGUAUGACAGGACGGAAACGCACCUUGCGGAGAGUUGACGCUCGUCAUCCCUUAGCGCACUUUAGACUUUUUUUUUUUUUUUUUUUUUUUUUUUUUUUUUUUUAAAUUAAAUUUUAUUUUAAAGGUUCGUUUCAUUUCUUCAUUCUUCUGACUGGAACGAAUUGUGCAAUAGUGCGCGAUGACGGUUGCCAGUGUGAAGACCGUGGUAUUCCCCGCCCCCGUUCCCCUUACAAGAGGACUCGGUUGGAGUUAGCUACGUCCUCCUGUACAUAGCCGCUGCAGCGGUAAUGUAUUCGUUACCGUAUUUUGUUUACUAUUCCGAUUUUACAGCGCGACGGUGGGUUAAUUUUCGACUUCGGAAAUUCGAUCACGCGGUUUGUCAAGCGCCUGUUUGGCCGAUGAUGCCGCUUUUUACAAACAAUCGUGACCAAAAAGUUGGAAGUAAUACUUGCCUGCUUCAAUGUCGUUCCAUUUUAAAAGUUAAUAAAGUUUUAUUAGCGUCGAUUAUUUUAAUUGCCGGCCUUUUUUUUGUUUGUUUGUUUUCCUUCCAAAUUUGUCCAAAGACGAUUUAAUAAAUCAACAUGUUAAAGUACUCAGAAAUAAAAAGUCCGGUUGGUGGGUUGCACUGUCGCUGUCGGCUUAUUUAACCGCACGAUGACGCACGAUGGCGAUCUUGCGUUGCCGCGUUUCAUCUUUAUUGAUUUUUUUUUUUUUAAACCCAAUUUGGCGAGCGUGUCGUGUUUUGGGAAUGGCCAGCGUCUUCACACAGCUCCCUGUAAAGCGCAGAGUGAGACUUUGUACAGAUUUCUGAACACGUUUUGCGGAAUGUUUUACGAAUAUUAGAAAAUCGUCUUCACUGCCAGUUUUGUCACGUGACCGAUGAACAGAUUAACACCGUCGAAACCGAACAAGACCCAUGCGAGGAGAUGAUCAGGACCCGGAGCCCUGAGGGACACGCACUGCCUGUUUUUAUCACCGUUUUCCACUCCUCACCGAGAGUUCCGAGUGGCUUCCAUCCAAUCACGUCCAUUCCUGUAGUUUCCUGCGAGCUGAAGACGAGGGACAGACUCCGUCUCUCUGAUGGCUCAGACGUUUUCCUUUUCGAAACCUUUUUUUUUUUUUUUUUUUGGUUGUUUUUGUUUUUUUUUAAUGAAAUGUUUCCACUUGUCUUGUUUUGACUGCCAUGUAAUGUCUGAUCAUUCCAAUCCUUAAAUAAACAAAAAGUUGACAAUGAAGGACGUCUGGCUGCUUGUUAUAUUGUAUGUUUUAUUGUUUAUAUGUAAUGUAUUUAUAUAGAAGUGUUAUCGUAUCUGUGUGUAUAUACACAUUGCUCUGCUGAGGUCACAUCACCUGGCCGAUUCCAUAUGGCUGCCCGGUACCGUAAGUGUUUGAAAUAAACAUGACUACUCUUCGUGCAUCCCUCUAGAACCCCUCAAAGGGGUUCUUUAUUUUCUCCUUAUGGGUAAAGAUUCCAUGUGUGAUUAAUUUCAGAAAAGGUUUGAAGCAGAACCCCUUUUGACACCUAGAACCUCCAGCAGUCCAAAGAACUUUAAAAAAAUAAAUAAAUAAAUAAAGUAUGGCGUUUACAUCAGAGCAAUAGCGCCGUCUGCUGUUGAUGAGGUGUGUGUGUGUUUUGAUAUUAACUUCGCUUUGAGGAAGGUGCUGUGUAUGCUGAGACCUCGUCAACAACUGGGGACGUCUUCACUUCGCCUUGGACUUGACUCUGGGACUCUUGGUUCUCUGAGGACCUGGAGGAGGAAGACUGGAAGUGUCAGGUGGGGGCGCACUUGUGCUAAAAGUUGUAGAAUAUAAAUUAAUCAGUUGUGUCCAAAUUAUGAAUUUCUGCCUCAUAAAAUCAAUUUUGUGUUUUAUAGGCCACAGUGGACACACCGGCUCAGGGGCAACAUACUCCACUUGGUGCUGCACCUGAAAAGCAACAGAAAGCAGGAGUUGCAGUUGGUCGCCAGGGACGAUGCAAAGCAUUGUGGGAAAUCUGGUUGCACCAAUCAACAAAUGAUGUCACUCGAUAUUAACAUGCCAGCAUUUUGAUUCAGGAUUAAUAGACAUGGAGAUGCAUGAAUCUUUAAACAUUCUGAGAAUUCAGCAUUUGUUAGUGGCUAGCCUCUUAAUAGUGUUUAGCGUUUUCUUUCUUCUGUAUCUUCCUGUAAAGAUAAAACCCUAGUGCGUAUGCUAAUGUUGAAACAAUUUUUUUUUUUUUGUCUCAGAACUGUCCUUUCAGUAAAGGCUGUGGGUUUGUCAUAUUCCCGUUUUGUAUACACUCCAUUUGUAUUGUCUUGUCAUGAAAUGUUUUCUUUCUUAGCAUAAUUUUUAUGCUAUACAAAUGUGUGUGUGUGUAUAUAUGUAUGUUUAUAUACGUGUGUG